RNAcentral lists this ribosomal RNA (504 nucleotides) under uncultured bacterium. RNAcentral describes it as "partial 16S ribosomal RNA". It matches the Rfam family "Bacterial small subunit ribosomal RNA", at positions 29 to 523 of the family's 1533-position model. The record is from RNAcentral.
AUUGAACGCUGGCGGCAGGCCUAACACAUGCAAGUCGGACGGUAGCGCAGAGAGCUUGCUCUUGGGUGACGAGUGGCGGACGGGUGAGUAAUGUCUGGGGAUCUGCCCGAUAGAGGGGGAUAACCACUGGAAACGGUGGCUAAUACCGCAUAACGUCGCAAGACCAAAGAGGGGGACCUUCGGGCCUCUCACUAUCGGAUGAACCCAGAUGGGAUUAGCUAGUAGGCGGGGUAAUGGCCCACCUAGGCGACGAUCCCUAGCGGGUCUGAGAGGAUGACCAGCCACACUGGAACUGAGACACGGUCAAGACUCCUACGAGAGGCAGCAGUGGGGAAUAUUGCACAAUGGGCGCAAGCCUGAUGCAGCCAUGCCGCGUGUAUGAAGAAGGCCUUCGGGUUGUAAAGUACUUUCAGCGGGGAGGAAGGCGGUGAGGUUAAUAACCUUGCCGAUUGACGUUACCCGCAGAAGAAGCACCGGCUAACUCCGUGCCAGCAGCCGCCGUAA